Long non-coding RNA from Electrophorus electricus (electric eel), 1811 nucleotides. RefSeq lists it as uncharacterized. NCBI's taxonomy places the organism in Eukaryota, Metazoa, Chordata, Actinopteri, Gymnotiformes, Gymnotidae. The record is from RefSeq and is a predicted model, not a curated record.
CUGCCUACACUUCCGCACAUCCUUGUUGGUGAUGACAGCUGUGGUCAGAUAGGGCAGAAUAUGUGGGCACAUGGCCAGAAUAGCAUCAAGAUACCUGGGAACGCAGGACACACACUUCAAAGGAAGGUUUCCUUUAUGGUCAGUAGGGAAUAGGGGUGGCUACUGACCAAAAAAACAAAAACCAACACAAAUAAAAAAAACAUGGACGGUAAUGGUGAAAGCAUCUUUAUUCACUGGUGCCACUGUGAAGGGGAGAGAAGGAAAAUCCCUACCUAGAUAUGGAUCAAUGGCCACCGGCCUGGCCAGCAGGUGAAAUACUACCCACGAGGGGCUUGUUUUUCAGCCACAGGUCAACUAGCUGUAGAUGGAGUGCAAGACUGAGCACUGAGUAGCACUACCAUUACAACCCAAGACAAAGUUUCUUCUCUGCAGCCGGGGACAGACCUUAGCAUUCAAUCAUAAAAGGGAAGGAAAAACAUACACACACAACGGACGCCUUGUCAUAAGACUGAGAGCUCCUUUUAAGGUGCACUUAACAUAUCAAGUCAAUUGGAAGGACAACCUUGGUGCCUGUGGUAUCGGAGUGAACAUCUCGGAACCCUUCACCCACUCACCCACCCCCACACACACUUCUGCCACAACCUCCUACGAGGAUCAAAUUAAAUUUGGAAGAGGAAGUAGAGUUGCCCUGCCUUGGCCAGCCACUAUAGCCCUCUUACGGGUCAGACUGCAGAAACACAUGUCGUUCUAGAAGAGAGGAAGACCAGCGGAUGGCUUAAUUAGCCAAAACAAUUAGAGGGACAAGAAGGCCUGUGGCACUUCAGAUGUCGGGGCUAAAAAUGGUAGUGGGUUCGGGUGGCGUGUGAUCCUGGCUGGUGUGGGCCCCUCCUCCCUUUGUAGUCGGUGGCAAACCACAACGCUGCAUGCUAUGUUCCUGAUUAACUUACACCUACUCACUCACCAGAGGGGGCUCCGAAGGCCCUCCUGCUUGCAUGAGUCAUGAUGCCAUAUCUGGGAUUCAUGUUCCAACACGGAGAGAAUUAUCUAAGCAGCCCGAUGGCUAAGUUUGUAACCACCAUUCAUCUUAACAGACUGCUUUAUAAUUUCACAAAGAUGUCAAGGGUGUAAGUUUAUAUUACCAAAUGUGUGUCACUCAGACAAUUAUGCUCAAACUAUUUUUCGCUCUAAUAGCGGUUUGAGAUUUAAAGUGCGCAGAGACAGAAGUCCAGAUAUGUAGUGAAUGGCUGUGCAGUUUCAGUUUCAUGUAUUUCAUGAUACAUGUGGGGGUUGGGAUUAGAAUUAGAGGCAAAUCACGUGCCACACAGAGCCACUGCGUAAGGGUAAGGAUAGUAUUACUUCAGUAUUAUCUUUCCUGUUUGCACCUAAAUCAUAGAUCAUCUUAUGACAAUAUUCUCGCUCCAGCUGCCCUUGGACAGACUGCAUAAUUUGAUAGCCAAACUUCUAUAUCAUUUUUCUUCUCUAAAAACUUUCAGGUUUUGAUUUUGUUUGUCUAUCCAUUCGACAGCAUGGCAGUGUCAUCAUCAUCAUCAUUAUCAUCAUCAUCAUCAUCAGCUUGAGGAGCCGCUGCAAAGCCAGCUGACUCGCCGUCUCAGAGCCUUGCAGCAAGGCUGCAGUAAGCAGAGAAGGUCUGGUGUAGCCUACACUGCAGGCUCACCCCAAGGGUCAAACACCCAGCCCAGGCUCACAUCCACAGACUGUGGUGGGCUUUCCAACCUGGACCCGUACAUCAUCCUACCUCAUCCGAUUUUAUUAGGACCAAACUAAAGCCAAAUAAAAUUUGAACGAAACCA